CCUACUUCCUUCAGACUUGUGAACAAGAAGGAGAGUGGUACCAUGUGGCGUGUGACAUCUAGCAGGGCAGCAGAGGCCUCCCUGCAGUGUCCCUACAGCGCUGGGCACGGUGGCUCACACCUGUAAUCCCAGCAUUUUGGGAGGCUGAGGCGGGUGGAUCACUUGAGGUCAGGAGCUUGAGACCAGCCUGGCCAAUUUGGUGAAACCCCGUCUCUGCUACAAAUACAAAAAUCAGGCCGGGCACGGUGUCUCAUGCCUGUAAUCCCGCACUUUGGGAGGCUAGGUGCCAGCGUGGAGGAGAGGUGCACCUGCGCUGGGGGGUGAAGGGGUCCCUUCUCUGGGUGGGGCAGGAUGGGGGUCCCAGCACUGGGUGGGUGGAGGAGUCCCUUCUCUGGAUGGGGUAGGACGGGGGUCCCAGCGCUGGGUGGGCGGCAGGACGGGGUGGGGCAGGGCGGGGUUCUGGUCAGUGGUCCACCCCCGCGCCGACGCCCUUGCCCCCUCCUCAGGGACCACGCAGGCCGGACCCCGCUCCACCUGGCCGUGCUGCGGGGCCACGCGCCCCUGGUGCGUCUCCUGCUGCAGCGAGGGGCCCCGGUGGGCGCGGUGGACCGGGCGGGGCGCACCGCGCUGCACGAGGCCGCCUGGCACGGACACUCGCGGGUGGCCGAGCUGCUGCUGCAGCGCGGGGCCUCGGCGGCGGCUCGCUCCGGGACGGGCCUCACGCCGCUGCACUGGGCCGCUGCCCUGGGCCACACGCUGCUGGCCGCGCGCCUGCUGGAGGCUCCGGGCCCGGGACCCGCGGCAGCGGAGGCGGAGGACGCGCGCGGCUGGACGGCGGCGCACUGGGCGGCCGCGGGCGGGCGGCUGGCGGUGCUGGAGCUGCUGGCGGCCGGCGGCGCGGGCCUGGACGGCGCCCUGCUCGUGGCUGCCGCUGCGGGGCGCGGGGCGGCGCUGCGCUUCCUCCUGGCGCGCGGGGCGCGGGUGGACGCCCGGGAUGGCGCGGGGGCCACAGCGCUGGGUCUGGCGGCCGCCCUAGGCCGCUCCCAGGUACGUCCCGCCCUCCGCCCGGCAGUGAUGGGAGGGGGCGCAGGGCCAGGAUCCCCAGAGACGUGCCACCGGGGCAGCUGGAGCCAGGCUGGGGGACGGUGUCCAGGCACGAAGGCCCUGAGCGCGCCCCCGGCUGUGCCCCU
RNAcentral lists this long non-coding RNA (1190 nucleotides) under Homo sapiens (human). RNAcentral describes it as "non-protein coding lnc-ANKRD65-4:1". Lineage: Eukaryota; Metazoa; Chordata; Mammalia; Primates; Hominidae. The record is from RNAcentral.